Oxyura jamaicensis (ruddy duck) is the source of this 2210-nucleotide long non-coding RNA. RefSeq lists it as uncharacterized. The record is from RefSeq and is a predicted model, not a curated record. The transcript has 4 exons. NCBI's taxonomy places the organism in Eukaryota, Metazoa, Chordata, Aves, Anseriformes, Anatidae.
GUGAGAGGGAUGACACAGCUCAUUUGCUCUUCAGAGCCCUGUAGUAUUAGGCAGGGAGAUGGAGUACUUUAGUCAUCACAACUUUGAAGACAAGCCAGAGCCUUUUUGCAACAUGUUAUGUUGGUGACUGGAUAGUUCCGCGGGCUAAUGAGGAGACAGAAAAUCACAGUGAACCCAGUGACCAUUUCAAAUCCAAGUAGAGCUGUCAUUCUACCUCUGGGUAGAGCCAUCAUUCUGCCUCCCAAACACCUGUUCAGGAAGAGAUCUUAAAACACAUUGUUUCAUGUAAAAAACAUUCAGUCUUUUGCUUCCGGAAGCUGAUACAGAAGGACAGCGCUGCUCUUCCUUAGUUUACUGACCAGUUUGGCUGCACAGCUUGCUAGGGCUGUGCACAGGAAGGAGGGGGCCCAUAUAAAGGAAGGGUCAGGCUGCUUGUGACACAGAGGAUCAGCAUGCACAUGACUGAAGAGGAGGAAAAGGAAAACACUGCCAUAAAAGUGACAGCAGAGAUGAAGAAUUGUCAUGAAUGUGUAAUGCACCACUGAAAAGAUGCAGGAGAAAACAUACCAAGCUGGAAGUCUUAUCGUAUCUGGAGACUCACUAUUCCAAAGCAGGAAUUAAUUUAAAGAGAAGAAGCUGCUGCUCUUGUUGGCUGACAUCGCUUGUUCAUAAACACAGGAAAGAAAAACACUAAAGUGAUAUGGUUACCAUAAUUAUUAUCUUUGUUCAAAAAACAUGGUGGUUUUCCACCCUGAAUUCAGUUCAAGCAGCCGUGGCAGCUAGUACCAGUCAGGAGCUAAUGCCACACACUGCAGCUACUCUGGCAGCAAAUGCAGUAAAUCUUGCACUUCAAAUGCACCACACAGGACGUCGAGGCGUACUAAAGACACAGGACCACCGAAGAAUUAUCUAGUGUUGCUGUUACAAUUAAUUUGUGUGUAGCUAACCAAGGAUACAUUGCCAAACCAAGCCUGGCAAAUGCACGCUGCUCCAAUAGCAUAGAAAGCCCAUAGGGUGAUGAUUCUAAACACAGGGUUUCUGUGAAGGCUCAAGCUUAGCAUUUAAUUAUUUGAGCCCUGUUUGGAGGGCAUGCUGUGGCACUAGGUUGGAAAUUGGCUGGUCAAAGAAAUAUACAGGAUCGUUUUAAGCCAAAGUCAUCACCAAAUGCAAUACUGCUGUGUAAUCAGGGUAAUCAAUUCCAGCCCUGUCAGCUUCUUGUCUUGCUGUGGCUGCCCAGGGGAUAGGCGCAGAACAAGGCUUUUCCAGCUGGAGGAGGCAGUGAAGCCCUGGUUAAACAGGUAUCUGUUUGGUUUUGGAUAAAGCUUAAAGCAAAGCUGGUUAAAUGACUUGCUGAGUUGAUGAAACCUUGCAAUUCUGGUUGCUGCUCUCCUGCUUUCUCUCUCUCUCUUUUGCUGCAGUAACUGGCCUGUCUUGGUAGAUUUGUUUAUAAAUGCUCACUUACAGUUUACUCGAUUUUUAAAAUUGCAAGGGGGGAAGAUUUUAAGCCAAAACAGUUUUUGAACUUCUUUUGGUUUAAAAAAAAAAAAAAAAAAAAAAAAAUCUUUCACGUUUUAAGUAUGCAAGCCAGAGUUACUUAGAAGACCAUGUUUGGGGUAUUUGGGUUCAAGUUCUGAUUCACAAUUCAUCUCCACUUUCCUACUCUCUACUCCUGACCUCCCCUCCCCCCUUUUAUUAUGGUAUCCUUAAAAAGGAAGGGACUGAAAAGGAAAAUGAAUGCUAGAAUAAUCGCAUACUAGUUGUUGCCCUUUCCUUUAAAUGAGUGAGAAAGUGGGGAUUGUUUCUUGAAAUUUUUCAAAACAAGUUAAAGUUUUGGCUGUAUACCUUUCCAUGGUACUUCACACUGCUCACUUACCAGGAGAAGGUUAAUAUUUGGAAAAGCCGGGAAUGAGAGUACAGUGGUGUGUUCUUGUAGAAUUAGAUGGAAACUUAAUGGAAAAUAUUGAAGGAAAGCUGAAGUGUGAUCAUUUUGUGUUAAGCACAGAAGGUGAAGAGUUACUCUCUGGGCCACAAGAAGUAAGGGGUUGUUCUGCAAGUGACAGUGGAGGAAAGGGAUUGUUGUGCUUCUGUCACAAAAGGAAAAGGAUUACCGUGCAAAUGAUGUUCAAGGAGAAGGAUUAGACUGCAUUAUGACAGGGAAGAGAGGUCAUUGUACAUACAACAUGAAAGGAGAGGGUAGCGUGACACAGAGC